Molecule: non-coding RNA, 93 nt
Filed under: Candidatus Kentrum sp. TC
Lineage: Bacteria; Pseudomonadati; Pseudomonadota; Gammaproteobacteria
Source: RNAcentral
UUACCCGGGGAGGUCUCCGAGGCGAGAGUCUGGGAGAAGUCAGCAGAGGCCAUGGUAGCGAAGAAACCUGGUAAUGCGGGUGAAGCGAAGGGC